This 460-nucleotide ribosomal RNA is filed under the name uncultured bacterium. RNAcentral's name for it is "partial 16S ribosomal RNA". It matches the Rfam family "Bacterial small subunit ribosomal RNA", at positions 338 to 795 of the family's 1533-position model. The record is from RNAcentral.
CCUACGGGUGGCAGCAGUGAGGAAUAUUGGUCAAUGGGCUUACGCCUGAACCAGCCAAGUCGCGUGAGGGAAGACUGCCCUAUGGGUUGUAAACCUCUUUUGUCAGGGAGCAACGCCGGCUACGUGUAGCCGGACUGAGAGUACCUGACGAAAAAGCAUCGGCUAACUCCGUCCCAGCAGCCGCGGUAAUACGGAGGAUGCGAGCGUUAUCCGGAUUGAUUGGGUUUAAAGGGUGCGUAGGCGGAAUGCCAAGUCAGCGGUAAAAUCGCGGGGCUAAACCUCGCUCCGCCGUUGAAACUGGCGUUCUUGAGUGGGCGAGAGGUAUGCGGAAUGCGAGGUGUAGCGGUGAAAUGCAUAGAGAUCACGCAGAACUCCGAUUGCGAAGGCAGCAUACCGGCGCCCAACUGACGCUGAAGCACGAAAGCGUGGGUAUCGAACAGGAUUAGAUACCCGAGUAGUC